Molecule: non-coding RNA, 31 nt
Filed under: Mus musculus (house mouse)
Lineage: Eukaryota; Metazoa; Chordata; Mammalia; Rodentia; Muridae
Source: RNAcentral
GGAAUAGAUAUGGAUGGUGAUCCUGCUUGGC